CCGAGUUUACCACAACUCCCAAACCCCUGUGAACAUACCUAGCGUUGCCUCGGCAGGCCGCGCCCCGCCUCCCCUCGGGCGGGCGGGCGUAGCCUGCCGGCGGCCCACGAAACUCUUGUUUGUUAAAUACUGGCAUUCUGAACGUACAAGCAAAUCAGUUA
This 161-nucleotide unclassified non-coding RNA is filed under the name uncultured fungus. RNAcentral's name for it is "sequence contains ITS1". Lineage: Eukaryota; Fungi. The record is from RNAcentral.